RNAcentral lists this ribosomal RNA (1206 nucleotides) under Triticum aestivum (bread wheat). Its description in RNAcentral is "partial small subunit ribosomal RNA". The record is from RNAcentral. Lineage: Eukaryota; Viridiplantae; Streptophyta; Magnoliopsida; Poales; Poaceae.
AUGGCGUUUCUCUUCAACAAAUUCCAGGAGGCAAUCAAAACACUUGCUAAGAGUCCAAGCUUUGCUCGAGACCCACGGCAUCUUCAGUUUGAUGCUGACGUGAAUCGUUUAUUUCUCUAUACCAGCUAUAAUCGUUUGGGAGAGCAUUCUGAAGAAAAGGACGCCGAGGAGAUUAUUGACCUGGCUAGCAAAGCAUCUGUUACUGACCAGCAGAAGCAAGUUCAGGGAAAUGUUCAUUAUCAACUUAAGCAUAUAUGCAAAUCAAUGGAUAACAUUCUUCGUCCUGAUACAAAAGAUCCAUCACAAUCUUCUUCUGAUGCUUAUAAUAAUUCUCGACGAAGUGGCUUGAGUUUGGCCGUUGGCACAGGAGUUGCAGCUGCAAACAAGCCAGCUGUUCCUGCUACGCGACCUUUAACUCAAGCUGAAUUGUCAAACAAAUUCAGGGAUCAGUUUGGCUACACCCUUGACAUCAAGCCGUCACUAAUACCUCACAAAGAUGCAGGGCAAGGUCUGUUCUUAUCUGGAGAAGCUAAUAUUGGUGCUGUCCUAGCCAUCUACCCUGGAGUUAUAUACUCACCUGCGUAUUAUCGAUAUAUCCCUGGAUACCCAAGAAUCGAUGCGUGCAACAGCUAUCUUAUCACAAGAUAUGACGGAACAAUAAUCAACGCGAAACCAUGGCAUUUAGGUGGUGAAACAAGAGAAAUAUGGGAUGGUUCAGAUCCAGUGGAUUACAAUACAACGCCACCCAAAAGCCCAGAGAGCAACUCUGACCGGGCGUGGAGGAUGCUUAACAAGCCCCUGCAGAAGAGUGGCACUGAAAACUUCGGGGAUGUGCUUGAACGGCGAAAUCCACUAGCCUUUGGUCAUUUCGCGAACCACCCACCGGGAGGGUCGACUCCUAAUGUCAUGAUCUGCCCAUAUGAUUUUCCACUGACAGAGAAGGACAUGAGAGUAUACAUCCCGAACAUUGCAUUUGGUGGUGAAGAGCCCGUUACAAUGAAGAGGUUUGGCUCCUUCUGGUUCAAGUCCAGAGCCCCUGGUAAAGAGACUGGGGAGUCACCGGUUCUGAGGACGCUUGUGCUAGUAAGUACGAGGUCCGUAUGUGACGAAGAGCUCUACCUGAACUACCGGUACAGCAGCUCAAAGGGGCGGCCAGACUGGUAUACCCCAGUGGAUGAAGAAGAGGAUAAGAGGAGAUGGAGCUAG